GUACACUCCUGCGGGAGGCAGCAGUGGGGAAUUUUGGACAAUGGGCGAAAGCCUGAUCCAGCAAUGCCGCGUGAGUGAAGAAGGCCUUCGGGUUGUAAAGCUCUUUUGUCAGGGAAGAAACGGUGAGAGCUAAUAUCUUUUGCUAAUGACGGUACCUGAAGAAUAAGCACCGGCUAACUACGUGCCAGCAGCCGCGGUAAUACGUAGGGUGCAAGCGUUAAUCGGAAUUACUGGGCGUAAAGCGUGCGCAGGCGGUUUUGUAAGUCUGAUGUGAAAUCCCCGGGCUCAACCUGGGAAUUGCAUUGGAGACUGCAAGGCUAGAAUCUGGCAGAGGGGGGUAGAAUUCCACGUGUAGCAGUGAAAUGCGUAGAUAUGUGGAGGAACACCGAUGGCGAAGGCAGCCCCCUGGGUCAAGAUUGACGCUCAUGCACGAAAGCGUGGGGAGCAAACAGGAUUAGAAACCCGAGUAGUCCCAUGAU
RNAcentral lists this ribosomal RNA (479 nucleotides) under uncultured organism. Its description in RNAcentral is "partial 16S ribosomal RNA". It matches the Rfam family "Bacterial small subunit ribosomal RNA", at positions 331 to 801 of the family's 1533-position model. The record is from RNAcentral.